Molecule: transfer RNA, 72 nt
Filed under: Perca fluviatilis (European perch)
Lineage: Eukaryota; Metazoa; Chordata; Actinopteri; Perciformes; Percidae
Description: tRNA-Ile
Rfam family: tRNA (bases 6-64)
About the family: Transfer RNA (tRNA) molecules are approximately 80 nucleotides in length. Their secondary structure includes four short double-helical elements and three loops (D, anti-codon, and T loops). Further hydrogen bonds mediate the characteristic L-shaped molecular structure. tRNAs have two regions of fundamental functional importance: the anti-codon, which is responsible for specific mRNA codon recognition, and the 3' end, to which the tRNAs corresponding amino acid is attached (by aminoacyl-tRNA synthetases). tRNAs cope with the degeneracy of the genetic code in two manners: having more than one tRNA (with a specific anti-codon) for a particular amino acid; and 'wobble' base-pairing, i.e. permitting non-standard base-pairing at the 3rd anti-codon position.
Source: RNAcentral
CCCAGAUGGUCUUGUGGUCAAGACUCCUGGUUUAUACCCAGCUGAUCUGGGUUCAGUUCCCAGUGACUGAGU